ACCAUCAUGCGCUUCAUUUCCACCGUGCCCACUUGCGCUGUGAUCACCAAGGCCCCCUCAUGCGGCUCGAUGGGCUCCGAAGGAUAGUCAGCGUCGGUGAAUGAUAUGACAGUCCCGGGGAAUGGUCUAUCUGCUUUCAGGGGAGCAUCUGUCAUAGUCAUGACCGAAUUCAGGUAAGCCCUUCUCUUCUUCCCUAUCAAUUUCCCCGCGGACCCACCGGUUAUCACAUCGAUAACAUGCCUUGGCGGCAGUACUGGAGCCC
Molecule: long non-coding RNA, 262 nt
Filed under: Panax ginseng (ginseng)
Lineage: Eukaryota; Viridiplantae; Streptophyta; Magnoliopsida; Apiales; Araliaceae
Description: long non-coding RNA (PGIN_LNC014130)
Source: RNAcentral